This 1343-nucleotide long non-coding RNA is filed under the name Mus musculus (house mouse). Its description in RNAcentral is "long non-coding RNA chr15:93010728-93012071". Lineage: Eukaryota; Metazoa; Chordata; Mammalia; Rodentia; Muridae. The record is from RNAcentral.
CCUUGGGAGACACUCAACCCAUCUGGCCCAUGGCAUUUGGAAGUUGGUAUUUCUUCCAGGGCUUGCCAUACACAGCACAGGAAAUUUUCAGAAUUCUUUCUCAGACGUUGCUUUUGGUUUCCUGGCUGUUGUGAAGUGCACAGUGGUAGCAAGCAAUUCUUCAGGACUGCAACUGACUUAAAGUUCCUGCCCUCAUAAUUUUUGUCCUCGGGGGUCCUUUUACUCAGGUAAAAUUUAUUAUGACUUCAAAGGGCUUUUUUCAUGUGACCUGAAUGCUGUUAUUAACCAUGUCAGGAAACAGCAUAGAAAAUUUAAAUUAGUUAUCACCUUAUUAGUUAUUACCUUAGAACAAUAACAAAUAUAUUACAUUACCACUUUGUUAACGUUUAUAUUAAUAUUUUUAUGAAAUUUCUCCAAAACAAAAGAGGCUUCUGUGGGAGGGACGAUGUUAUUUUAUAUCGUUUUUUAAGCCGUUGUGCUGUCAGGCUAACAGAACAACUGCGUUUCUAUGCAGUUCCACUCAGGACCUACUGCAAUAUCUUUUUAACUGAGCACAUAAAGAAAGGCUGGUCUUUUGCUGAUUUGUAAGUGAAAGGGGGGAUUGUUUUAAAGUCUUUCCAGGCCACAGUAGCCUUCUUUGAUACUGUGCCAAAGUUCAACAAAUGAUGGUUUCUUGGUAGUUCCCAGCAAAGUAGAAUUUGAAGCAAGACCAACAAACUUCUCGUAUUUUGCUGCAUCAAAACCCAGUCUGUCUUCUACUUAAAAAAAAAAAAAAAAGUCAUUUCAGGAGCUAAAAUGUCUUUGUGGGAAGAUAAGUUUCUGUCUUUUGAUGUCAAAUAUUUUAGUCAGUACCAAGCUUCAUCUUUUGAAGUCAAUUAAGACAAUUCAUGAAGAUGACCUACUGUAAGCAUUGAGACUGCCUUCGAUCAGACAGCUUAUGAGAAGCUGGGUUGUGUCAAAAGCCACAAAACUUAACACCAUCAAACAAAAGAAAGAUGUGUUUUAUCCCAGUGAGGCCCAAUUGCUUUAAGCCAUAUUCCAAAGUCUGUGUUUGGUAAAAGGAUGUUUUAGAUAUCGUAUGGGUUCCACUGAACAGGGAUUUUCUACUGCACUGAUGCAAACAUUCCAUUCCAUCUUUCCUCUGGAAGUGUGACUUGUGGGGACAGAGUUUAACACAGGUGAAUCACAAACUCCAGUGACCUCAUUGGAUCUCAUGAAGAUAGUGAAAGGAGAAAAGCUAGACUGGUGAGCACACUGAGACUGGGCUGCCUGAAACUCGAUCACACGGCUUCCUGGCCAGCAAACAAAAGAAAGAUGUGUUUUAUCCCAAUGAGGCCCAAUUG